Molecule: ribosomal RNA, 264 nt
Filed under: uncultured bacterium
Lineage: Bacteria
Description: partial 16S ribosomal RNA
Rfam family: Bacterial small subunit ribosomal RNA
Source: RNAcentral
GUCCACGCCAUAAACGAUGGGCACUAGGUGUUCGGGGUAUUGACCCCCUGAGUGCCGCAGCUAACGCAUUAAGUGCCCCGCCUGGGGACUACGGCCGCAAGGUUAAAACUCAAAGGAAUUGACGGGGGCCCGCACAAGCGGUGGAGCAUGUGGUUUAAUUCGACGCAACGCGAAGAACCUUACCUGGGCUAGACAACAUCGGACAUCCCUAGAAAUAGGGCUUCCCCGCAAGGGGCCGUGGUUCAGGUGCUGCAUGGCUGUCGU